Molecule: non-coding RNA, 119 nt
Organism: Gossypium hirsutum (cotton)
Lineage: Eukaryota; Viridiplantae; Streptophyta; Magnoliopsida; Malvales; Malvaceae
Source: Rfam
GGGUGCGAUCAUACCAGCACUAAUGCACCGGAUCCCAUCAGAACUCCGCAGUUAAGCGUGCUUGGGCGAGAGUUGUACUAGGAUGGGUGACCUCCUGGGAAGUCCUCGUGUUGCACCCC